CAUGUCACAUUUUUCUUUUCAGGUUGUGAUUGAUUAUGAUGACUUGGUGAAGAUUCCUUAUUUCAUGUCUGAAAUUGAAAGCCUUACAAAUGAGGCUAUGCAGUUGAGGUAUUCAAAUUUGUUUUUUGUUGAUUCAUACCAUUUAUUUUUAUAACUUGUUGAUACGCACCAAAUCAUGAAUGUAACCAAAAAAUACUUUACCAAAUCAUGAAACAAACGUUUCUUAAAUACAUUUAUACUUUUCUUCUUUUCCAUUUUUUUAAUGUGUUAUACCCAUGCCCCUUUAUUUGUUAUUGUGAAAUGUAGGGCGAGAGAAUUUUUAUUACUGUAUACUCUAAUAUAUAAGUUGGUUUUUGUUUUGUUAAAUUCUUGCUUCAGCUUCACUAAUUGUGAACUUAUAAUCAUAUGUAGCUAAAUCAUUUGGUUGUGGCAACAGUUGUAAUUGAGCUUGAGUAAUAAUCCUGUUGGAUAGGGGCACAUCUAACUGUACAAUGGUAUAGCUUGAAGAUAAUUUAAUAUGAACUAGAAGCAUGAUUGAAUGUCUCUAGAAAAAAAAAA
RNAcentral lists this long non-coding RNA (558 nucleotides) under Trifolium pratense (red clover). RNAcentral describes it as "long non-coding RNA (TPRA_LNC010482)". The record is from RNAcentral. Lineage: Eukaryota; Viridiplantae; Streptophyta; Magnoliopsida; Fabales; Fabaceae.